GUGUGUGCACGUGAAGGUAAUGGGCAUGCGCUAGUUAGUAUCCUUUCUCUCUUAGGACUCCUUAUUUGGUAAGAAUAAUUUAGAUCUGAUUUAAGUUAUGUGUCCUAAUAAAAUUGGAUCUUUGAUUAAGAUGUGGAUGCCUCAUCUAUUUAAAGGAAGAAACCAACUAAUCGAUGAGAAGAGAUUAGUUUUGUGAGAUAAAAUAAAUCAGAACAUCACCAUGUAAGAGUGGAGAGGGCAGACAUUAGUUUAUUUUGUGCAUGGAGCUUCCCUGGCACUCUUCUUUCUAGCCUAGAUUACUCCCUUCUUAGCAUCCUUUGAGUGGAGAUCUGAUCUCCUUCCUUCUCUUGAUUCCAUCCUAAAGAAUUGAUGUGAUGAGAUCAUCUCUCUUCCCUACAGAGCAGGAUGUGUGCGUGAAGCAGAGGGCCUGUGCUUUCAGGCCUCACGAGGCAUCGGAUUCAAGCAAUCUUUGGAGAUUUGAUUCCUAUUCCAUUGUGAUCAAGGUAAUCCAUAAUUUUUAUGCAAGUUUUUGUAUAGAAAA
Molecule: long non-coding RNA, 541 nt
Filed under: Elaeis guineensis (African oil palm)
Lineage: Eukaryota; Viridiplantae; Streptophyta; Magnoliopsida; Arecales; Arecaceae
Description: long non-coding RNA (EGUI_LNC049194)
Source: RNAcentral